This 1382-nucleotide ribosomal RNA is filed under the name Synechococcus sp. HWJ5. RNAcentral describes it as "bacterial SSU rRNA". It matches the Rfam family "Bacterial small subunit ribosomal RNA". Lineage: Bacteria; Bacillati; Cyanobacteriota; Cyanophyceae; Synechococcales; Synechococcaceae. The record is from RNAcentral.
AGUCGAACGAACCUUCGGGUUAGUGGCGGACGGGUGAGUAACGCGUGAGAAUCUGCCCUCAGGAGGGGGAUAACGGCUGGAAACGGCCGCUAAUACCCCAUAUGCCGAGAGGUGAAAUGAAUUUCGCCUGAGGAUGAGCUCGCGUCUGAUUAGCUAGUUGGUGGGGUAAGAGCCCACCAAGGCUUCGAUCAGUAGCUGGUCUGAGAGGAUGAUCAGCCACACUGGGACUGAGACACGGCCCAGACUCCUACGGGAGGCAGCAGUGGGGAAUUUUCCGCAAUGGGCGCAAGCCUGACGGAGCAACGCCGCGUGAGGGAUGAAGGCCUCUGGGCUGUAAACCUCUUUUAUCAAGGAAGAAGAUCUGACGGUACUUGAUGAAUAAGCCACGGCUAAUUCCGUGCCAGCAGCCGCGGUAAUACGGGAGUGGCAAGCGUUAUCCGGAAUUAUUGGGCGUAAAGCGUCCGCAGGCGGUCUUGUAAGUCUGUCGUUAAAGCGUGGAGCUUAACUCCAUUUCGGCGAUGGAAACUACAAGACUAGAGUGUGGUAGGGGCAGAGGGAAUUCCCGGUGUAGCGGUGAAAUGCGUAGAUAUCGGGAAGAACACCAGUGGCGAAGGCGCUCUGCUGGGCCAUAACUGACGCUCAUGGACGAAAGCCAGGGGAGCGAAAGGGAUUAGAUACCCCUGUAGUCCUGGCCGUAAACGAUGAACACUAGGUGUCGGGGGAAUCGACCCCCUCGGUGUCGUAGCCAACGCGUUAAGUGUUCCGCCUGGGGAGUACGCACGCAAGUGUGAAACUCAAAGGAAUUGACGGGGGCCCGCACAAGCGGUGGAGUAUGUGGUUUAAUUCGAUGCAACGCGAAGAACCUUACCAGGGUUUGACAUCCUGCGAAUCCCUUGGAAACGAGGGAGUGCCUUCGGGAGCGCAGAGACAGGUGGUGCAUGGCUGUCGUCAGCUCGUGUCGUGAGAUGUUGGGUUAAGUCCCGCAACGAGCGCAACCCACGUCUUUAGUUGCCAGCAUUUAGUUGGGCACUCUAGAGAGACCGCCGGUGAUAAACCGGAGGAAGGUGUGGAUGACGUCAAGUCAUCAUGCCCCUUACAUCCUGGGCUACACACGUACUACAAUGCUACGGACAAAGGGCAGCAAACUCGCGAGAGCUAGCAAAUCCCAUAAACCGUGGCUCAGUUCAGAUCGUAGGCUGCAACUCGCCUACGUGAAGGCGGAAUCGCUAGUAAUCGCAGGUCAGCAUACUGCGGUGAAUACGUUCCCGGGCCUUGUACACACCGCCCGUCACACCAUGGAAGUUGGCCACGCCCGAAGUCGUUACUCCAACCCUUGUGGAGGAGGACGCCGAAGGUGGGGCUGAUGACUGGGGUGAAGUCGU